Molecule: small nucleolar RNA, 126 nt
Organism: Cricetulus griseus (Chinese hamster)
Lineage: Eukaryota; Metazoa; Chordata; Mammalia; Rodentia; Cricetidae
Gene: SNORA71
Rfam family: Small nucleolar RNA SNORA71
About the family: The members of this family belong to the H/ACA class of snoRNAs which bind a number of proteins (including dyskerin, Gar1p and Nop10p) to form snoRNP complexes. This class of snoRNAs are thought to guide the sites of modification of uridines to pseudouridines by forming direct base pairing interactions with substrate RNAs.
Source: Ensembl
ACUAUUCGAAAGUGAUUGUGGGCUUCCCAUGCCCUGGCCAUUGGUAGCGCAGGGAGAGGAUGCGGGAAGCCUCUCCCAUGUUUGGAAGGUCCACUCCUGUCUCUAACGUGAGCAUUGUUCCCGCCA